CUACUACUCCCUCCGUUUGGAAUUACUUGUCUCGGAAAUGAUGUAUCUGGAAUUAAAAUAUAUCCAGAGACAUCCAUUUCCGAGACAAGUAAUUCCGAACGGAGGGAGUACCAG
Triticum aestivum (bread wheat) is the source of this 114-nucleotide non-coding RNA. The record is from Rfam. Lineage: Eukaryota; Viridiplantae; Streptophyta; Magnoliopsida; Poales; Poaceae.